CAGACUUUACUAUCAGGGAUCAUUUCCAUAGUUUGUCACUAGAGAAGUUUCUCUGAACGUGUACAGCACUGGAAACCACGAGGAGGUGCAGGUUCUCUCCUGAGCGAGAAGCCGGGUCUUGGUGUUGCUUUGCUGCUACUGCCAUUUGCCAUUGAUGAUCGCUCUUCUCGCCAUUCUUAGGGAAGGAAGUAAGAGGGAGAGGAAAAAAAAAGA
RNAcentral lists this small nucleolar RNA (213 nucleotides) under Microcebus murinus (gray mouse lemur). RNAcentral's name for it is "Small nucleolar RNA U3 (ENSMICG00000018292.3)". It matches the Rfam family "Small nucleolar RNA U3". Rfam says of the family: Small nucleolar RNAs (snoRNAs) are involved in the processing and modification of rRNA in the nucleolus. There are two main classes of snoRNAs: the box C/D class, and the box H/ACA class. U3 snoRNA is a member of the box C/D class. Lineage: Eukaryota; Metazoa; Chordata; Mammalia; Primates; Cheirogaleidae. The record is from RNAcentral.